This 268-nucleotide ribosomal RNA is filed under the name uncultured bacterium. Its description in RNAcentral is "partial 16S ribosomal RNA". It matches the Rfam family "Bacterial small subunit ribosomal RNA", at positions 57 to 305 of the family's 1533-position model. The record is from RNAcentral.
GCAAGUCGUACGAGAAAUCUUCAGCUUGCUGAAGAGAGUAAAGUGGCGCACGGGUGAGUAACGCGUGGGUAAUCUACCCUCGAAUUUGGGAUCACAUUGCGAAAUCGAUGCUAAUACCGGAUAAUAUUCAUUGGGCUUUGGUCUGGUGGAUCAAAGGUGGCCUCUACAUGUAAGUUACUGUUUGGGGAUGAGCCCGCGUACCAUUAGCUAGUUGGCAGGGUAAUGGCCUACCAAGGCAGCGAUGGUUAGCUGGUCUGAGAGGAUGAUC